RNAcentral lists this ribosomal RNA (265 nucleotides) under uncultured archaeon. RNAcentral's name for it is "partial 16S ribosomal RNA". It matches the Rfam family "Archaeal small subunit ribosomal RNA", at positions 323 to 594 of the family's 1478-position model. The record is from RNAcentral.
UUACGAGGCGCAGCAGGCGCGAAACCUCCGCAAUACACGAAAGUGUGACGGGGUUACCCAAAGUGCUCUUCUUAGAGCUGUGAUAGGUGAGUAAUGUCCCCUAUUACAAAGGAGAGGGCAAGGCUGGUGCCAGCCGCCGCGGUAAAACCAGCUCUUCAAGUGGUCGGGAUAAUUAUUGGGCUUAAAGUGUCCGUAGCCGGUUUAGUAAGUUCCUGGUAAAAUCGGGUAGCUUAACUAUCCGUAUGCUAGGAAUACUGCUAUACUA